UCCGGUUUGUCACCGGCAGUCUCGCAUGAGUCCCCGGCCGAACCGCUGGCAACAUGCGACGGGGGUUGCGCUCGUUGCGGGACUUAACCCAACAUCUCACGACACGAGCUGACGACAGCCAUGCAGCACCUGUGUUCCCGUUCCCUUUCGGGCACAGCCGGGUUUCCCCAGCCUCUCGGACAUGUCAAGGGUAGGUAAGGUUUUUCGCGUUGCAUCGAAUUAAUCCACAUAAUCCACCGCUUGUGCGGGUCCCCGUCAAUUCCUUUGAGUUUUAGCCUUGCGGCCGUACUCCCCAGGCGGGGUGCUUAAUGCGUUAGCUUCGGCACGGACGGGGUUGAUAUCCGCCCACACCUAGCACCCAACGUUUACGGCUAGGACUAC
Molecule: unclassified non-coding RNA, 381 nt
Filed under: uncultured bacterium
Lineage: Bacteria
Description: contains 16S-23S intergenic spacer region
Source: RNAcentral